AUUGAACGCUGGCGGCAGGCCUAACACAUGCAAGUCGAGCGGAUGAAGGGAGCUUGCUCCUGGAUUCAGCGGCGGACGGGUGAGUAAUGCCUAGGAAUCUGCCUGGUAGUGGGGGAUAACGCCCGGAAACGGGCGCUAAUACCGCAUACGUCCUGAGGGAGAAAGUGGGGGAUCUUCGGACCUCACGCUAUCAGAUGAGCCUAGGUCGGAUUAGCUAGUUGGUGGGGUAAAGGCCUACCAAGGCGACGAUCCGUAACUGGUCUGCGAGGAUGAUCAGUCACACUGGAACUGAGACACGGUCCAGACUCCUACGGGAGGCAGCAGUGGGGAAUAUUGGACAAUGGGCGAAAGCCUGAUCCAGCCAUGCCGCGUGUGUGAAGAAGGUCUUCGGAUUGUAAAGCACUUUAAGUUGGGAGGAAGGGCAGUAAGUUAAUACCUUGCUGUUUUGACGUUACCAACAGAAUAAGCACCGGCUAACUUCGUG
This 484-nucleotide ribosomal RNA is filed under the name uncultured bacterium. RNAcentral describes it as "partial 16S ribosomal RNA". It matches the Rfam family "Bacterial small subunit ribosomal RNA", at positions 30 to 507 of the family's 1533-position model. The record is from RNAcentral.